CACGUAGGCACCAAGCGUUAUCCGGAUUUAUUGGGCGUAAAGAGCUCGUAGGCGGUUCGGUAAGUCGGGUGUGAAGACUCUGGGCUCAACCCAGAGAGGCCACCCGAUACUGCUGUGACUAGAGUGCGGUAGGGGAGCGGGGAAUUCCUGGUGUAGCGGUGAAAUGCGUAGAUAUCGGAAGGAACGCCGGUGGCGAAAGCGCUCGACUGGACCUCUGCUGACGCUGAGGCGCGAAAGCCAGGGGAGCAAACGGG
Molecule: ribosomal RNA, 254 nt
Filed under: uncultured bacterium
Lineage: Bacteria
Description: partial 16S ribosomal RNA
Rfam family: Bacterial small subunit ribosomal RNA
Source: RNAcentral